CUAGCCACCAGCCCUCUCACUCUGCGCUCUCUAUUCUCGAAACCCACUCCCACUCUCCCAACAGCCAGCACCUCCCACUCCCAACCUGCGUGAACCCCGUCCUCCCACCACCUCCCUGCGCCGACGAACCCCUUCCUCUCACCACCUCCCAGCGCUGCCGAACUCUUCCAGUUUUUCACACAGCGCCGCCGAACCCUUCCUCCCAGCAUCUCCUCGCGGACAGCACCAGCCAACACCAUCAUUGCGGAGCCAGCACCACCCCCCGCCGCCACCCACAGCAUCGUCUUUGGCCUCGCGGAGACGCGGACACUAGCCUACCCAGUAACCCCCAAGCCCCACCCCCAAACGGAGUACGAAACCUAGCCGCUCUCUCCCUAGGUCUCACAGCCUCGCUCUCUGCACCUCCCAGCUGUGGCGAGGGACCGUUCCGCCCACCACCUCGAGAGUUGUCAACGGUAGCUCCCAAUGGUACUGAAACUGAUACUAUGAAUGGAAUCAAGAAACCCUAAAUUGAGUCAAUAGCAUGCAGCAGGAAACCCUAAAUUGAGUCAAUAGCAUGCAGCAGGGAGGAGGAUCCGACACGGAAGUGACAUGGGAGGACGAGCAGAACAUCAAUAAGUUGGGAAGAUUGAACAAUCGCUUUCUGCUAGUCCCGCUCCUUCUGCUCCGCUCUCUUCGCCGGUCUUCUUCUCAGUAGUUUGAAAUUUGAUUAGUAAAGAGGAAGCUCUCCAACCGGGAUGGUUCAGGGAGUGGUUUGAAGAUGGGUUUGAAGGAUCCUCCUCAGGCAAAGUGUCCUCUCCAGCAGCUUUACGUGCCAUGUUCUGGGUUUUUGAUCUUUAGUGUUGAUGAUAAUUUAGUAAUGUGUGCUGCUGUGCAGUAUUUUCUUACCGAUUGACUUAGUUGUGGUGAAGAUGAUUUUAUUGAACGUUGAUCUUGCUGAUACUGCUUUGCAUGUAGUAGUAAAUACAGUUGAUAGUAGCUACGGUUCACAAUAACCGUCAUUUUAACCUUUGGUACAUUCAUAAAUCUAAUCAAUGUUUUUAGAUACAAAUUCAAUCCAUAUAUAUUGAUGUAUGAAUGUACAAAGUCAAAAUGACAAUUAAUUUGAGCUAGAGGGAGUAUGGUUUGGGGCUAUGCUGUUGUGUUGUAAGAUUUUGGAAAAAUAAAACAACUGGAAUGUGAGAUCUUGUAAAAGUUGCAUGCCUGUGGAUUUUGAGGCAGAAACUGCAAAUCUAGGAAAGUUUAAAACUUGUUUGCUUGUUGGGAUGCUAAUUUUACUAUUGAUCGACAUUCGACAGGGAAACCUAAGAACCCAAUAUGUUGGGUAACAUUACUCCAAUGUUUAGAUAGUGUGAUGAUCACGUUUAUUGGUCUUCCUUGUUUGAUUAGUGAUUACAUUUCUACAGUAUCAUAGUCUUCAUUCUUGGAACGUGUUCAAGUUCAUUAUACUUCCUAUUGAACUUGGUAGAAGUUUUACUUAUUGAUGGCAUCUUGAGUCCCGCAUUCAUAAAUCUGAAAGUUUUUUAUGUGCUUUCUGUAUUCUGUGAUUGUAGUUUACAUAUUUUUGUUUUCCUCAAGAACCUUCCUACUUUAUAAUUCUCAUAUGCAUUAUCAUUAUUAACCAUUGAACAGGAAGACAAGAUAGGUCUUCCGGGACUGGCUGUCAUGUGCCAGAAUCUUGCUCUCAAUAUUGCCCAAAAUAAAAGUAAUUUUUUUAUUAUUUAAUAACAUUUUUUAAAAAAUAUUGCUAAAAAAAUACUAUCGAAAUGUAAAAAAAAUAUUUUAAUUUAACAACAUUUAUAUAACUAUCAUAACCACCAUAAACAUAAACAUAUUAGAAAUUGCCAUUUUAAAAACCUAUAUCUAAGAAACUUCACAUAUUCCUAUGUCACAUCGACACACAAUGAUGGCCAUAAUUUGAAACCAUGCAUAAUGCUACAUGUACUAUAGUUAUGUAUAUACUUGUAAGCCUUAAUUAGGCACCAUUUUCAACAUGGAUGCUAACGUUUGAAUCAUGCAAUGUUGAAACCUCUCCUUCAUGAGCCACUCUGUUAUCUUUGCGCCUUCUCUUUUUCCCAUUUUUAUCUUCCAUCUCUUCUUCCUCUUCUCUUCCAUUGACAAAUGAAAAGAAAGAUUUGAUACGAGAAGAACGCGAAGAAGAAGAUGAUGAGCCUCCAAGGUUGUCAUUACUAGUAGUGUUGUUUGAAUAAUGCCUCUUAAAACGGUAGGUCAUUCUAAUAACAUGGCAAAGGAGAGCAAUGAAGCAUGCAAUGCCAAUAAGAAGGAAGAGGCCCCAAAAGCUCUUAGUCUCAAGCCUAUCUAUCCCUUGCUUUGCACCUUCUGAGCUACAAGCACUUCUUGUUAGCCAUUUGUCAUGAAUCCUUUGAAGAUCACCAUUCUCUGAUAGUUUUAGAAUAGCUGUUGACAUGUCAAUUGCUAAGGGAGAGUCUCUUGGAAAGGCCUGUAAAUAUUUAAAGAAUGUACCUCUUUUAGAAAUAUCUAAAAUAUCGAAAAUAUUUAGUAACAAAAAAAUUAGCCAAAAACAGCUGGAACGAAUUUGUUUUAUUUAAUAUUUAUUAAUUAUUGUAAUAAUUAACAAAUGUUAAAUAAAAUAAGUUUUGAUUGUAUUUUUUUAUCUCCUUAAUAUUAUCGCUUAAAUAUUUAGA
RNA transcript from Arachis stenosperma, 2666 nucleotides. It is a transcript of the gene named mitogen-activated protein kinase kinase 2-like, with no coding region annotated. The transcript has 3 exons. The record is from RefSeq and is a predicted model, not a curated record. NCBI's taxonomy places the organism in Eukaryota, Viridiplantae, Streptophyta, Magnoliopsida, Fabales, Fabaceae.